Molecule: long non-coding RNA, 2641 nt
Filed under: Canis lupus familiaris (dog)
Lineage: Eukaryota; Metazoa; Chordata; Mammalia; Carnivora; Canidae
Description: lncRNA (ENSCAFG00000058753.1)
Source: RNAcentral
UUUUUUUUUUUUUUUUUUCAUUUAAAAUAAGUGUCAAGUGUGAGUUAAAUAGGCUGGAAAUCUGAAAUUAAUUCCUAGUUUUUCCCCCCUCCACCCUUCAGGUCAUCCAGCUGGUCACUUAGCUGGCUCUUCUAUACAUACCUUUCAUUUGCUUCUAUCUGCUAUAGAGUAUUUUAAAUGCAGGAUUAUUUAGCUCUUUUCUAAAUUAUGUAGUCUGUUGUACUCUUCAUGGAAUCCACCCCAAACUAUUCUUUUUUUUUUUUUUAUUAAAUUUAACUCUCCAGACGUUCUCCAUCAUUUACAGAAUAUUGUGCAGUUCCUUCAUAGUAUAUGCAGUCCAUUAUCUUUCCUAACUUAUAUCUUAUUUCACAACUCACAUUCUGUCUGUUCCCCAAAACACAAACCCUCUUCCCACAUUAUUAUUAUUAUUAUCACCUUCCAGCAGUUCAUCAUAUUUUGUCUGGAGCAGCUGGAUUUUUCUGGAUGCAUUACAGCUUAGAAAUUAAGCACAUGGGCUCUAGAACUAGACCAGCAGUCAGUAAACUAUAACCUGCAUGCCAAAUAUUCCCCACCAUCUCUUUUCAUAAAUAAACUUUAACUGGAAUGCAGGAAUGAAGAUGCCAGGCAAAAAAAGAGUAUAUGUCAUAUGGUUCCAUUUAUAUAAAUCUAAAAAAUUCAAACUAAUCUGUAGUGACAAUGCAGAUUAUUGAUUGCUUAGGAGGGACAUGAGGAAGGGAUGGCAAAAUGGGGAAGCUUUACAAGGUGAUGAAUAUGGUCCUUAUUCUGAUUGUGUUGAUAAUCUUAUGGACCUUUUUGUAUGUCAGAACUUAUCAAAUCAUUCACCUAAAAUAUGUGCAGUUUAUUAUAUAUCAUUAUGCCUCAAUUCAAAAGAAAAUAUUGUGAGUGACAUUCAGCAUCAGGUUUUCCAUAGUUUCAACCUCACUUAGCCUGAAGAGUUACUGCAUCUUGAUAGGCCAUUGAAGUGCUUUCCCAGAGUCUUAGUCUCCUACUAUUACUAGUUUUAAGAAUUUGGCUACAUCACUUAACCUUUUUGUGCUUUGGAACCUCAUCAAAGACAAAGGCAGAUUGGACUUGAUUAGGAGUCACCUUCUAAAUUUCUGGAGCUCUCAUCUCUAUUUUACAAAUUCAUCCCACAAAUAGUUUUGAGGUACCUAUACUCAGGUAGUAUGUUAAUGGUACUCGUCUACCCUUUCCUUGCUGUAGGUGACACCUCAGCUGUAAGACAUGCUUCUUUCCUAAGUAUUGCAUCCCCCUUUGAAACUGCAGGGUCUUCUCUGAUAAAAUAUUCCUUUAUAAUAGCACUGCUUAGUUUCUUUGUUUGGGUAUUACCCUUCUUAGCACAUCAUAUAAUACCCUUCUUAGCACAUCAUAUAAUACCCUUCUUAGCACAUCAUAAAAUACCCUUCUUAGCACAUCAUAUAAUUCAGCUUCCGAAAUUCAUCUUCCCCUUUUCAAACUUUAACAAUAAUAGGAUUUUUAAAAAGAUUUAUUUAUUUUAGAGAAUGAGAGAGAGUGAGAGAGCAUGUGAGCAGGGGUGGAGAGAGUCUGAAGAAAAGCUGUGCUGAGCAUGAGCCCAGCGUGGGGCUCAGUCUCAUGAUCCUGAGAUCAAGACCCUGAGAUCAUGACAUGAGAUCACGACCUGGGAUCACAACCAGCUGAAACCAAGAGUUGGAUGUUUAACCAACUGAGCCAUCCAGAUGCUCCAAUAAUAGGAUCUUUUUAGUUAGGUUGAAAAACUGUAAAAAAAAUGCAAGAAAACAUUAUAGAUAGAAGGGUGUUUUAUGAUAAUAUAGCAGACUUUAGAAGAUAUCACUGAGAAAUUCUCCAUCUCUUAGGGCCUUGUAAAUGAGACUGGCUUCACACAGUGGUCUUAAAGCUGAGUUCACUGUUACAGGAAUCUGUAGUCUUCUUAACAUAUCUCCAAGCCCAUGGUUGUACAGUGCUCCCUUGAGAGGAGUUUGCUGGAAUUUCUCCAAAGUCUAAGUGCUUAAAACCCAAAUGACCUAAUGCUGUGCUUGCUUAUCUCUAGGGAAUUUUCCUUAGCAAUGUACCAGCGUGUUAGAAUGCUUAAAAGAAUAUGUUUUUAAUAUUGGUAUAAAUUGGAAACUAAGGAAAUAAGAAUACUGUAGUUAUAUUUAGUUAAGCAAUUAUUGUUGACAUCAGGGUAGGCUAUUUGAAUAGCCGUUUUAUGAAUUAUUGUUCAUUUGUCUGUCUACAUGGAAUUAAACAUGGAAAGAGGGCCUGUGCUGGACAAUUCCCCAUGUUGUAUUGUGUAUCUCUUACCAUAGCCUCUUGAUGAAUGUUCUGAUUAGUUUAUAGUUACAAGAAACUGAAGAUAAGAGAUAUUUGGGUGUUUGUCCAAGGUCAUACAGCUAGUAUGUACUGGAACAGGAAUUUAAAGCCAAGUCUGAGCAGCCCUCAAAGCCCUGAGCAGCGCGUCCACGGGAGGCUUGGUUAAUCAUGCGCCCUGUGGAGUUUGGAAAAGCAGAAGACCUAUCUCAGGGAAGGCCCUUGGUUGAGGUGUCUGCUUUCUGGAGGUGCAGGGUCCACUCCCUCAUGUCACUUGUUGGCGUGAAUAAACUUCCUUCAGUCCUGAAAAAAAAAAAAAAAAAAAAAAAAA